GAUCUGUUUGACCCUGCCAGACUGGUCGGCUAGUUCGGAAGCCUAAGCCAUGCAAUUUGGGCAACCUGUUGAACUCUGUCUCGAGACGGAGGGCAGGGAGCAGGCCACUGCUGCGUUAGAUCAUGGUAACGUAUGCACAAGGACGGUAUAUCCGCGGGAAACUGCGGGCAAUAUCGAAUGGGCCGGUGAACACAGUAAGUGUGUAGGCUGUGUGCGUCGAGUACGAACCCAUCAGGUAGAUGGCAGUGUUAUGAACUACCGUGCCAGUAACGGGCACGGGGAAUUGGAGUACGAUUCCACAGAGAAAGGCUGAGAGACAGCUUUCAGAGCCAAGGCAAGCGGCAGGUGCGAAACCUGUCCAAUGGAGGAUCGCCGCGAAGGUUAAAGACCCUCCUUUGUCAUUCGCGGAAAAGGAAGAGAUGGUCUUAGAGAGACCGACGAACGCAACCUGUGCUAAACUCUGGUGCCAGCAGGCGCGGUAAUACCAGGACAGCGAGUCUACCAGGGUUACUGAGAUUAAAGGUUCCUAGUCGUUACUGCGUAGCAGCGAGGGACCGCGCUUAAACUUGGGUGCUCAAGAAAUAGAGUGUGCGCGAGAUCGCUUCUCCUCCGCGGAGGAAACAAGGAGAAACCAGACGCGAGGUGGAAUUCGUUGACCCGGUCAGGAAUACCAGUGUCGAAAGCGCCUCGAGAGGGUUUGCUCCUCGACCGAGAACCAAAGUUGGAGUAUCGAUAACAAUUAGACACGGUUGUAGUCUCAACAACAAACGUUGCCGACAGUUUGUGGGGCGGUACGUUUUCAGACGAGUCGGCUCCGCGGACAAUGCGAAAACCUAGUCACCGGGUCGCUUGGAGAGUAUGCUGGCAACAGUGAAAUUUAAAGGAAUUGACGGAGCCUUCCACAAGAACAGGAAAAUACGGUUCAAUUUGAUUGUAGAUGGUCUUUAGCAAUUCUUGC
Molecule: ribosomal RNA, 958 nt
Filed under: Paramikrocytos canceri
Lineage: Eukaryota; Endomyxa; Ascetosporea; Mikrocytida; Mikrocytiidae
Description: partial 18S ribosomal RNA
Rfam family: Microsporidia small subunit ribosomal RNA
Source: RNAcentral